Molecule: long non-coding RNA, 2290 nt
Filed under: Triticum aestivum (bread wheat)
Lineage: Eukaryota; Viridiplantae; Streptophyta; Magnoliopsida; Poales; Poaceae
Description: long non-coding RNA (TAES_LNC009213)
Source: RNAcentral
ACAACUGGUCAUUAAUUAAUCUAACUGGCUAAUUACAACCAAUGGAUCUCCUAAAUAGUCUACUUACAUAAUAGUUCAAACUAACUACCCACCAAUGCCCUUAAUUAUUUUUUAUCGUACCCCUUCAAUUUACCUAGCUAGUGUUGGCGCAGCUCUAGACUAGCUCUCUCAACUGAACGGGGGUGGAAGAAGAAGAAGACAACACUAGUUUCCGGCGAAGAACGCCCCCGCUGCCAUACAGCGUUUUUCUUUUCUCCUGCUCCAACUGGCUCCACAGCCUUUACAUCUCUUAAGUAGUGGGCACAUCAGCCGGCCACACCGGCCACUAAGUCACGCACGCACGACUUGGCCAUACAUCCAGCUAACAACUUAUGCAUGCAUGCCUGGUAGCACUAACAAACCCACCCAUGCAAACUGGACGCACGACCCCGGCAACAACCUACAAUUUUCAGCCGAUUUUGUAGCUGAUGAGGACGUAGCGCCCACGCACGCCACGGUCGCCACACGUUCUCAAGCCCAGCCACAGUUCGACUCAACCUAGACGCCUACACGCACACGCUAGUGACCACGCGCACACGUACACACACGUCACGCUGCUGCGUCCCACACGUCCCGUCAAUCCCGCGCGCCACCGACAUGCCCGACGAACCCGACGAGCCCGACGGCACCAGUUGUCCCGCCCGUCCCGCGCGCACCCGACGCGCCCGACGAACCCGACCAUACACGUCGUGGCUUAUUCCAACACACACCCCUAAGCCACGGCCUAGAGGAGUCCGUCGUCGUCAACGUUAGCACCGGCCAAGAGAGCCUGCUCCGCCGCCGGUCCUUUCCGCAGCUGCGGGCACUCGCGCUGGAAGUGCCCGUGCUCCCCGCACUUGUAGCAGCGCCUGCGCCUGUUGCCGCCGCUCCCCGACGCCACGCUGCGCCCGUCAUCGUCGUCCCGUGCUCCGCCUUGCUGCCGCUCCCACGCCCGCCACUUCGUCGCCGUGAACAGGAGCUGUCCAUUCGCCCGCUCGCCGUUGUCCUCCUGUCGACGCCGAACUCGCUCGUCGAACGCGCGCAGCCGCCCGAGCGCUUCAUCGAACGCCAUUGUCGUCACGUCGUGGAACUGCUCGAUGCCGGCGACGACGGGGAAGAGCCGGCCGAUCCGGCACCAUAUCCAGCAGCUUCUUGACGAGCGCCGCGUCGCCCAGCGUCUCCCCGAGGUUGGCAUACCUCGACGUCAUCGCCGCGAGCCUCCCGCCGUACACGUCGAGCUCCUCGCCGUCCGCCAUCUUCAGGCGGUCAAAUUCACCGCGCAGUGUCGCCAGCCUCGCCGCGCGGACCCGAUCGGCGCCGACGAACCUCACCUUCAGGGAGUCCCAUACCUCCCUGGCGGUGAUCUUCGUCGACACCUGCAGCAGCACAUCCUCCGGCAACGCCCCAAGAAGCAACGCGCGCGCUAUCUUGUCCUUCCGCGCGUUCACCGCCGCGUCGCCCGGUGCCACCGCCUCCCAUACGGUGUGGAUGUCGAGGAUCGCCUGCGCCUUGAUGGCCCAGACCGUGUAGUUGUCCGCGGUCAGCAUCGGCAUCGCCAUCGUCGCUGAUCCGCCCGCGCCGCCGCCGUGUGGGACGAGCGCCAUGGUCGCCGGUGAUCGCCCGGACUGAAGCUCUGUAUACCAAUUGUUGGCGCAGCUCUAGACUAGCUCUCUCAGCUGGACGGGGGUGAAAGAAGAAGAAGACAACACUAGUUUCCGGCGACGAACGCCCCCGCUGCCAUACAGCGUUUUUCUUUUCUCCUGCUCAACUGGUUCCACAGCCUUUACAUCUCUUAAGUAGUGGGCACAUCAGCCGGCCACACCGGCCACUAAGCCACGCACGCACGACUUGGCCAUACAUCCAGCUAACAACUUAUGCAUGCAUGCCUGGUAGCACUAACUAACCCACACAUGCAAACUGGACGCACGACGCCGGCAACAACCUACGAUUUUCAGCCGAUUUUGUAGCUGACGAGGACGUAGCGCCCACGCACGCCACGGUCGCCACACGUUCUCAAGCCCAGCCACAGUUCGACUCAACCUAGACGCCUACACGCACGCGCUAGUGACCACGCGCACACGUACACACACGCCACGCUGCUGCGUCCCACACGUCCCGUCCGUCCCGCGCGCCACUGACACGCCUGACAAACCCGACGAGCCCGACGGCACCAGUUAUCCUGCCCGUCCCGCGCGCACCCGACGCGCCCGACGAGUCUGACCACACACGCCGUGGCUUAUUCCAACAGCUAGAAAAAGUUAGGUUAUUAGGU